RNAcentral lists this ribosomal RNA (483 nucleotides) under uncultured bacterium. RNAcentral's name for it is "partial 16S ribosomal RNA". It matches the Rfam family "Bacterial small subunit ribosomal RNA", at positions 28 to 507 of the family's 1533-position model. The record is from RNAcentral.
GAUGAACGCUGGCGGCGUGCCUAACACAUGCAAGUCGAACGGAGUCGUUUUGGAAAUCUCUUCGGAGAUGGAAUUCUCGACUUAGUGGCGGACGGGUGAGUAACGCGUGAGCAAUCUGCCUUUAAGAGGGGGAUAACAGUCGGAAACGGCUGCUAAUACCGCAUAAAGCAUUAAAUUCGCAUGUUUUUGAUGCCAAAGGAGCAAUCCGCUUUUAGAUGAGCUCGCGUCUGAUUAGCUAGUUGGCGGGGUAACGGCCCACCAAGGCGACGAUCAGUAGCCGGACUGAGAGGUUGAACGGCCACAUUGGGACUAAGACACGGCCCAGACUCCUACGGGAGGCAGCAGUGGGGAAUAUUGCGCAAUGGGGGAAACCCUGACGCAGCAACGCCGCGUGAUUGAAGAAGGCCUUCGGGUUGUAAAGAUCUUUAAUCAGGGACGAAACAAAUGACGGUACCUGAAGAAUAAGCUCCGGCUAACUACGUG